RNAcentral lists this ribosomal RNA (497 nucleotides) under uncultured bacterium. Its description in RNAcentral is "partial 16S ribosomal RNA". It matches the Rfam family "Bacterial small subunit ribosomal RNA", at positions 28 to 507 of the family's 1533-position model. The record is from RNAcentral.
GAUGAACGCUGGCGGCGUGCCUAAUACAUGCAAGUCGAGCGAACAGACGAGGAGCUUGCUCCUCUGACGUUAGCGGCGGACGGGUGAGUAACACGUGGAUAACCUACCUAUAAGACUGGGAUAACUUCGGGAAACCGGAGCUAAUACCGGAUAAUAUAUUGAACCGCAUGGUUCAAUAGUGAAAGACGGUUUUGCUGUCACUUAUAGAUGGAUCCGCGCCGCAUUAGCUAGUUGGUAAGGUAACGGCUUACCAAGGCAACGAUGCGUAGCCGACCUGAGAGGGUGAUCGGCCACACUGGAACUGAGACACGGUCCAGACUCCUACGGGAGGCAGCAGUAGGGAAUCUUCCGCAAUGGGCGAAAGCCUGACGGAGCAACGCCGCGUGAGUGAUGAAGGUCUUCGGAUCGUAAAACUCUGUUAUUAGGGAAGAACAAAUGUGUAAGUAACUAUGCACGUAUUGACGGUACCUAAUCAGAAAGACACGGCUAACUACGUG